RNAcentral lists this small nucleolar RNA (140 nucleotides) under Ochotona princeps (American pika). RNAcentral describes it as "Small nucleolar RNA SNORA74 (ENSOPRG00000024240.1)". Lineage: Eukaryota; Metazoa; Chordata; Mammalia; Lagomorpha; Ochotonidae. The record is from RNAcentral.
CUCAGCUAUAGGCAUCUGCCUAGGUUGCAUUGUAUCUAGGCAAGUGUUGCAUUGCUGGGAGAAAAGCAGUUAACAGCUGGUGGGCAGUCUGGGCCUGGUUAAUGCCAAAUUUGUGUUAACUACCAGUGUGCCAGCACAGU